This 360-nucleotide unclassified non-coding RNA is filed under the name soil metagenome. RNAcentral describes it as "partial contains 5.8S ribosomal RNA, internal transcribed spacer 2, and large subunit ribosomal RNA". The stretch from base 1 to 120 matches the Rfam family "5.8S ribosomal RNA", at positions 35 to 154 of the family's 154-position model. The record is from RNAcentral.
GAUGAAGAACGUAGCGAAAUGCGAUAAGUAAUGUGAAUUGCAGAAUUCAGUGAAUCAUCGAAUCUUUGAACGCACAUUGCGCCCGCCAGUAUUCUGGCGGGCAUGCCUGUUCGAGCGUCAUUUCAACCCUCAAGACCCCUUCGGGGGACUUGGUGUUGGGGACCGGCAUAGGGGCCUUGCGCCCCUCGCCGCCCCCGAAAUGAAUUGGCGGCCUCGUCGCGGCCUCCCCUGCGUAGUAGCACAACCUCGCAACGGGAACGUGACGGCGGCCACUGCCGUAAAACAACCCGAUUUUAUUAGAGUUGACCUCGAAUCAGGUAGGAAUACCCGCUGAACUUAAGCAUAUCAAUAAGCGGAGGA